UCAUGCGGCAGAAGAGUGCAAAGGAGUUAAGAUCCUUAUAAGGUAAUUUCUUAAAAUAUCUCUUGAU
RNAcentral lists this transfer RNA (67 nucleotides) under Mongoloniscus sinensis. RNAcentral describes it as "tRNA-Leu". The record is from RNAcentral. Lineage: Eukaryota; Metazoa; Arthropoda; Malacostraca; Isopoda; Agnaridae.